RNAcentral lists this ribosomal RNA (427 nucleotides) under uncultured bacterium. RNAcentral's name for it is "partial 16S ribosomal RNA". It matches the Rfam family "Bacterial small subunit ribosomal RNA", at positions 355 to 774 of the family's 1533-position model. The record is from RNAcentral.
UGGGGAAUAUUGCACAAUGGGCGCAAGCCUGAUGCAGCCAUGCCGCGUGUAUGAAGAAGGCCUUCGGGUUGUAAAGUACUUUCAGCGGGGAGGAAGGGAGUAAAGUUAAUACCUUUGCUCAUUGACGUUACCCGCAGAAGAAGCACCGGCUAACUCCGUGCCAGCAGCCGCGGUAAUACGGAGGGUGCAAGCGUUAAUCGGAAUUACUGGGCGUAAAGCGCACGCAGGCGGUUUGUUAAGUCAGAUGUGAAAUCCCCGGGCUCAACCUGGGAACUGCAUCUGAUACUGGCAAGCUUGAGUCUCGUAGAGGGGGGUAGAAUUCCAGGUGUAGCGGCGAAAUGCGUAGAGAUCUGGAGGAAUACCGGUGGCGAAGGCGGCCCCCUGGACGAAGACUGACGCUCAGGUGCGAAAGCGUGGGGAGCAAACA